UACGGAAGGGGCAAGCGUUGUUCGGAAUCAUUGGGCGUAAAGGGCGCGCAGAUGGCUCUGUAUGUCUGCCGUGAAAGCAUACAGCUCAACUGUAUUGUGUCGGUAGAAACUGCAGGACUUGAGGCUGGGAGGGGCUGGUGGAAUUCCCUGUGUAGCGGUGAAAUGCGUAGAGAUGGGGGAGAACACUCGUGGCGAAGGCGGCCAGCUAGACCAGUUCUGACACUGAGGCGCGACAGCGUGGGGAGCAAACAGG
This 253-nucleotide ribosomal RNA is filed under the name uncultured bacterium. RNAcentral's name for it is "partial 16S ribosomal RNA". It matches the Rfam family "Bacterial small subunit ribosomal RNA", at positions 524 to 776 of the family's 1533-position model. The record is from RNAcentral.